CAUCGCCUCCUGAACAAAUAUAUGAGGUCCAGCCUGCCCAGUGAUAACAUUUAACGGCCGCGGUAUACUAACCGUGCGAAGGUAGCAUAAUCACUUGUUCUUUAAAUAGGGACUUGUAUCAACGGCAUCACGAGGACUAUACUGUCUCCCCUCUCCAAUCAGUGAAACUGAUCUUCCCGUGAAGAAGCGGGAAUUUAUAUAUAAGACGAGAAGACCCCAUGGAGCUUUAAACCCAGUGUACACCCCUUUACCCAAAUACCAAUUUAAUUUCAAAGGCCUGUAUAUUAGUUUUAGGCUGGGGGGGCCACGGAGUAAAACUUAACCUCCACAACAAAUGGGCUAAUUACCCUUAUCCAUGAUUUACAAAUCUAAGAAUUACAAAAAUGAUGUUUAAUGACCCGAUAAUUCGAUCAAUGAACCAAGUUACCCUGGGGAUAACAGCGCAAUCUACUUCAAGAGCCCAUAUCGACAAGUGGGUUUACGACCUCGAUGUUGGAUCAGGGCAUCCCAGUGGUGCAACCGCUACUAACGG
Molecule: ribosomal RNA, 532 nt
Filed under: Odorrana nasica (long-snout torrent frog)
Lineage: Eukaryota; Metazoa; Chordata; Amphibia; Anura; Ranidae
Description: partial large subunit ribosomal RNA
Rfam family: Bacterial large subunit ribosomal RNA
Source: RNAcentral